UAUUACUCGUUGAGACGUUUGAUAUUGGUGCAGUACAGAAAGCGAUUUGCUCGUCUUUUAAUCUUACAAGUUAUUAUUGGGUCCUUGACCGUAAUAAACUUACGAUGAAGUUCCUCCUUCCACUCAUGAAGGGCUGACAGAAAGGGGGAGGUAGUACACUGGUGGGAGCAGAGCUUCCAGCAUGCUCAUUCAUCCAUAUUGCAUGAAGAAAGAGAAUGCCUAACAAGGGCCCUUUAUGGUUCUGGAGUGUUUCAGUUAGAGGUCAUCCUUUGGGUGAGCAUUCGCGAGUGAAUCAUUUCUAGAAGCAAUGCAAAUAUAGACAACAAGUUGUUAGUUGUCUAACUAACAAGAAGGGUAUCUUGCUGGUAAGCUGCAAAAGAUUGACGACAAAGAACAGCUACAGACAUUUAUGUAGUUUCAAGUGCAUACAAAAAAUGCACACAAAAUAGACUCUCUCUGGUGUAAUGAAUGUGCUACUAUAUGUGAACAUAUUGAGGAGGUUGUGGAGGGAGAUAAUAAAAUGGCAUAUGUAAUCAAGUUUACUCUCAAGGAUUUUGAAAUGAUAGAUCUGUAGUUCCAAAGAAGACUGGGCCAGCCUCUCCUUACCACGCAUGAAAACAGCUAUAGAGCAAGCUAAGUUUUUAUAUUGUCCUUUACUCAACAAAGCAAUAACCAACUGUCACUUUUAAUGCUACAUCUACAGGUUGAACAUGUGUACAUGUUGUUAUUGGAAAGAAUAAACAUAGCAACAUUUUUGUCCAUGGAAACUGGAUUCCUCUGUGCAAUAAAUCAUUGAAAUGGCA
Molecule: long non-coding RNA, 803 nt
Organism: Rhineura floridana
Lineage: Eukaryota; Metazoa; Chordata; Lepidosauria; Squamata; Rhineuridae
Exons: 3
Source: RefSeq, a predicted model, not a curated record